This 253-nucleotide ribosomal RNA is filed under the name uncultured bacterium. RNAcentral describes it as "partial 16S ribosomal RNA". It matches the Rfam family "Bacterial small subunit ribosomal RNA", at positions 524 to 776 of the family's 1533-position model. The record is from RNAcentral.
UACGGGGGGGGUAAGCGUUGUUCGGAAUUAUUGGGCGUAAAGGGAGCGUAGGCGGUUCGAUAAGUCACUUGUGAAAUCUCUGGGCUCAACUCAGAGUCUGCAAGCGAAACUGUCGGGCUUGAGUAUGGGAGAGGUGAGUGGAAUUCCUGGUGUAGCGGUGAAAUGCGUAGAUAUCAGGAGGAACACCUGUGGCGAAAGCGGCUCACUGGACCAUUACUGACGCUGAUGCUCGAAAGCUAGGGGAGCAAACAGG